AUGGCCACGCCCACCUGUUACUCUAUAACUGUGGACCAGGUUCACUUGUGUUUCUACAGCCUCCACAACAUGGACCAGGUCCAACACACCGUCCUCAUCCUGGUUUUAGCUCUACUCUGCUUCAAAGGUUUUACAGAAGGGAACGAUGUAAAGCAGACUCGGAUUCUGUGGAAAGAGAUGGGACAAACAGCCACCAUGAACUGCAGUCACACUAAGGGUGUAGAGUACAACCAGAUGUACUGGUACCGACAGCUGCCAGGACAGAACAUGGAGCAGAUGGUGCUCACGACUACUUCUAAUUCUGACUUCGAACCAGACUUCAGAAACGACAGGUUCUCCACCACCAAACCUGACUCUUUCAGUGGAACGUUGACGGUGCAGAACCUGGAGUACGCAGAUACAGGCGUGUACUUCUGUUCUGUGAGUCAACACAGUGACACAGACUGAAGGGGAGGCUCAACAAAAACCUACAAACCACAUUGUGUUCAUCUAAUACACACAC
Sphaeramia orbicularis (orbiculate cardinalfish) is the source of this 502-nucleotide non-coding RNA. Lineage: Eukaryota; Metazoa; Chordata; Actinopteri; Kurtiformes; Apogonidae. The record is from the annotation of a RefSeq genome assembly.